RNAcentral lists this ribosomal RNA (253 nucleotides) under uncultured bacterium. RNAcentral describes it as "partial 16S ribosomal RNA". It matches the Rfam family "Bacterial small subunit ribosomal RNA", at positions 524 to 776 of the family's 1533-position model. The record is from RNAcentral.
UACGUAGGGACCAAGCGUUGUUCGGAUUUACUGGGCGUAAAGGGCGCGUAGGCGGCGUGGUAAGUCACUUGUGAAAUCUCUGAGCUUAACUCAGAACGGCCAAGUGAUACUGCUGUGCUAGAGUGCAGAAGGGGCAAUCGGAAUUCUUGGUGUAGCGGUGAAAUGCGUAGAUAUCAAGAGAAACACCUGAGGUGAAGACGGGUUGCUGGGCUGACACUGACGCUGAGGCGCGAAAGCCAGGGGAGCAAACGGG